AGCCAAAGUGUUGAGUUCAGUUCUGGGCUGUCUCCUGGUUCUGCUAAUAAAUCUUUGGCACAUGAAAACGGCUGAGAGUGAAGAACUCGUGAAGCGUCUGAUGUGACGUCUUCAUCUGAACUUCAGCCGAACACAA
Small nucleolar RNA from Triplophysa dalaica, 136 nucleotides. NCBI's taxonomy places the organism in Eukaryota, Metazoa, Chordata, Actinopteri, Cypriniformes, Nemacheilidae. The record is from RefSeq and is a predicted model, not a curated record.